GAUGCUGGAUUUCCAAAACUAAUAGCACAUGACGUACAAGUCUGUCAAUUGUGAAAGGGGGCAAAAUGAACAAAUUGUGGCAUCAAUGUAGAUCAGUAAGUAACAAACUCCAACUAAGGUUUUAUUUGACCAGGUCAAGUUUUGUAUCAAAGAAGUUGAACCAUGCACCAAGAAGCAAACCUUGAUAUGACUGGCAUUGGUCAUGGGAAAGUCAUUGAUCCCUGAAGGACACAUAAAAGA
This 240-nucleotide unclassified non-coding RNA is filed under the name Hevea brasiliensis (rubber tree). Lineage: Eukaryota; Viridiplantae; Streptophyta; Magnoliopsida; Malpighiales; Euphorbiaceae. The record is from RNAcentral.